AUAUCAAUAAGCGGAGGAAAAGAAACCAACAGGGAUUGCCCUAGUAACGGCGAGUGAAGCGGCAACAGCUCAAAUUUGAAAUCUGGCGCAAGCCCGAGUUGUAAUUUGUAGAGGAUGCUUCUAGGCAGCGGCCGGUCUAAGUUUCUUGGAACAGGACGUCAUAGAGGGUGAGAAUCCCGUAUGCGACCGGCUGGCACCUUAUACGUAGCUCCUUCGACGAGUCGAGUUGUUUGGGAAUGCAGCUCUAAAUGGGAGGUAAAUUUCUUCUAAAGCUAAAUACCGGCCAGAGACCGAUAGCGCACAAGUAGAGUGAUCGAAAGAUGAAAAGCACUUUGGAAAGAGAGUUAAAAAGCACGUGAAAUUGUUAAAAGGGAAGCGCUUGCAACCAGACUUGUUAGUGAUGUUCCGCCGGUCUUCUGACCGGUCCACUCAUCGCAUGCAGGCCAGCAUCGUCUGGGAUCGCCGGAUAAAGACGUGAGGAAUGUGGCUCCCCACGGGGAGUGUUAUAGCCACACGUGCAAUACGGCGUGACCCGGGCGAGGUCCGCGCUUCGGCUAGGAUGCUGGCGUAAUGGUCGUAAGCGG
This 584-nucleotide ribosomal RNA is filed under the name uncultured fungus. RNAcentral describes it as "eukaryotic LSU rRNA". It matches the Rfam family "Eukaryotic large subunit ribosomal RNA", at positions 40 to 647 of the family's 3401-position model. The record is from RNAcentral. Lineage: Eukaryota; Fungi.